CCGGGGUUAAAAACGAGAGGUCCAGAAGAGCAUGGGAGCCCGGGGCUGGCGGCAGGGCCCUGGGAGACCCUCCCGGGGCUGGCGGAUGGGCGCUCAGCGGCUCUGCGGGCGCAGGACGCUCCCUCUGGAAGCCUCUCCCUUGGAAAGGCAAGCGGGCAUUUCGGACAGCACAGCACCGCCCAAACGUCGAUGAGAACGUGCUGACAGGAGUAGGAAGAGUAUUAAUAAACAUUGCUGUUGUUGGAAAUGGUUUUUCAUUUUCUGAAAAAAACCCACCCUGUUUCCUAAAAGUCUUCAAAGUCGGCAUUCACUUAUCCCCUUUCUGAACAGCGUGCCCCAGCUUGAAUCCCUGUCUCAAGUAUGCAGUGUCUUGACCUCUCCUGCUUUCUCCUAGGUUCUGGGAUCAGCACUGUCUCACAGGAUUAGAAAAAAAAAUGGAGAACAAUAAGAUGGAGAAAGCACCUCGAUAUUUUUUUUGAAAAGGGCCAGGGAGUUCCAGAACAGCUUCCCGGCGUGGUCCUUGUUUUCCUUGCACCCUGCGGUGACAAAGUGACUGUAGACCUGAGAGUGAGAUAAAGUCAUCAGAACGGGGUCACUUUCAUCUUAAAUACAUGAUCUUGUGUUUUGACUGAUUACCAGAAAGGUGCUACUUCAAGAUCUUUAAGAUCCUCAUGACAAAGUUGACUUUUUAAGAACUAGGCUUUUUUUUUUUUUUUUUUUUUUUCCCAUUGUAUCGUAUAAAGAGCAGUUCUUCCGAGGUGUCAUUUCCCCUGCAGUUUGUUUCUGGAUUUCUUACUACCCUUCCUCGUGGCCUAAGAUGUAUGUUGGGGUUUGUCAUAAUGUAUAUUGUACUCCAUGUAAGUUUUGCCCAUCAAUCUCUGUUAUCUUAGACAUUAAUUUAACAGUGGGAUGUUUAAAAAAUUACUUCUCAUCAGUUCUAGUUCCUUCAAUUAACUGCAAGGUUUAAUGAAUUUCACUCAUGUUCCUAUGGAAUAUUGUUGGAAAGCUUGUGAAAAGAGCUGAAAAAAAGCAAAAUAGGCAAUAUUGUGUAGAGUGGAGCUCACCAGAAUUUACUAGCUGUGUCAGGUGAGAAAUCACUGUUGCUUAAUUUAAAUGUGAAGAAUAUAACCCUCCUCUUUGGUUUCCAAACAAUGCUUUGUUGGAGUAUACAGGUACAGAGGGGGGGGUUUGAAGCAAAUUUUGUAAGGCUCAGGUUCAUAAUGUAUUCCAAUACACAAUGCUUCAUCUUAUCUGUUUUUAUUUUUUACCAUUAUUUUCCACUUUAGGAAGCAAUAGGAGGAGAGCUUUAGAGCUGUACUUGAACACAGAUGGUAUGAUGGCACAGCAUUUGCUGCAACUUGUUUCAAGUUAUGUUACAGAGUUCAUUUUUAACAUAAGCUAAAACCCCUUAUUUUGUAGAAAAGUCUCAUUGAAAUGGCAACCACCCAAAUAUAGAGCAUACGUUUUCAGAGGUACAUGAAUAUUUUCUGGUAACGUGAUGAAAAAUUAACUGAUACAGGAAAAAUGGUAAUCCUUAAAAGUGCAUGAAGAACCCAGACUGGAGCCUGCAUUAGAUGAAGCACAAGUGUGUAUUGCUUUUUGAUAUUUCCAGGAAAUAUAGGGGAACCCCGUGUGAAGUAGGCUGCAGUACUGUAGGCAGCAUUAAUAGUUCCGUGGAAGGAAAACAUCAGCCUUUCCAUUCUGUCCUUUCCAUUAUUUUUGGUUUUGGAGUGAACGGAACAUCUCCCACAACAACCCUAAUUGCCACUAACCACAGUUUUUGUUUGUUGACAGCCCCAUGCGUCAACAGACGCUGCACUCUUUCCCCUUUAAGUGGGCUAUUUUUGCCAAACACCAUUUCCACUCCUCUGGAUUUCAUGAACGCUGCCAUUUGAAACAGAUCCAAGGAAUUAGACAUUACUCACCUUUGCACAUGCUAUCUCUUAAACAGAUACUAGCCUGCUGUCUUCUAUUCUUACAUUUCCUGCACUUUUCCCCCAUUGUGGAAUGUUCUAUUUUGUCUUGCUUAUUGCAGUUUUGACCAGGGAACUCGGUCUCUUAAAAACCAAGGCUUUAGGCAGCUUUCCUGUUCUUCAGAUGUAUUUUCUCUGUUGCUCUCCUCACAGCUUUUUGUUCGAUGACUUGCACUUUCACUAUCUCAGACUGUCAGGCGGCAGCCAGCAGCAAAAACUCAUUUGUAGAGUUAGAAACAUUUGCAUAUGAAAGUACAUAUAUGCGUGUUUAUUUACACUCAUUCUUACUUUACUUUCUUACAUGAGAAAACUCCAGAUAUCUUUUAUUUCCCUUCUAAAACAGCUUUUAGUUUUUCUUCCCUACCAUCCUUUCUCCACAAUUAUGCUUAAUUAUUCUUUCUUGUGCUUACAUGUAAUUAAUUAAAAGCAGACAAGUACAAGGUAGGGUUAUCCCCAUACUAGAAGAGGAUGGCAGGAUUUUUGGGGGUCCCCCUCACACAGACCAGGAAUGAUAACUCAGGAAAUCCUUAGGAAUAGCUCUUGGAAGUGGGUGAAUGCUAUCAGGGCUGGGAGACUCCGUGGUGGUGACUCUUGGUGCUAACCAGGCUGCUGCUGGAAUAUGGAGAUGUUCUGAAUUACUGUUGGUUGGUCUUUGUGUUGUUUUGGGGUUUUUUUUCCUGGGAACAGGAAAAUGAGGAAAGGCAGCCUAGCAAAGGGCAUUUCCCCAGAGACCAGGAGAUGAUUCUGCAAAUUUACGGCCUGCAGAGGGAAGAAAAGAGGAGCUGGUAACUCUGUUGUGUGCUCUCCUACUGUUAAGAGCUACAUUUCCAAAAACUGCUUGCUUAAAAUCCUGACUGUAGUGAUUUUGUUACAUACCUUUCUGUGCUGAUUCUCAGGCUGCAUGAUCAUGUGCAUAUGGGUGUAUUUUUAUGCAGCCUUUGUGUGUUUCUGUAGGGUUUUGAAUUUCAUUCUUCCCACUUAGCAAAAGUAAGAUCCUUUGAUUAUCACAACCUUUCUGGAAUAAAACAUUUAUUGAUGUUUUUAGGAAUAUAUCAUACAUAUUUUUAUUUCUUUCCUUGGCCACUACCUGUGAUUUGCAAGCCAAACUUCAAGCUUUGCACAAGGGAAUGAGAUCUUUUGUUCAUCUCCUUUGUAGUCUGAUUGUGCUUCUGUAACAACAGAUGCCCUUUGUCCUGAGGACACUCUUGUAGGUUGAGGCACCUGAAGACUUUAGGGAAGGAUGCAUGCAUUUAGAGUAUUGUUUUCUUUUUUGGUCCCUCCCCCAUCCCCAGUGUUCUGAAAUGAGUCAGAUUCUGACUCUCUGUCUGGUGUCAGUGAUAAAACAUGAAUUGUGGAUAAUGCUACUAUUUUCCAUCACUGAGUGGAAAGUAGUUGGAGCUGCUGGAUCUCACAAGGCCUUUCUCUCUGCCUCAUCAAACAUCCUGUAAUCUCCUCAUCUGUCUGUAGUCUGUUUUUUUU
Molecule: long non-coding RNA, 3452 nt
Organism: Prinia subflava (tawny-flanked prinia)
Lineage: Eukaryota; Metazoa; Chordata; Aves; Passeriformes; Cisticolidae
Exons: 2
Source: RefSeq, a predicted model, not a curated record